UUACCUUGUUACGACUUAUCCUGAGCCAGGAUCAAACUCUGCAGCGGCCGCGGAUCAAGGGC
Molecule: ribosomal RNA, 62 nt
Filed under: uncultured bacterium
Lineage: Bacteria
Description: partial 16S ribosomal RNA
Source: RNAcentral